Molecule: ribosomal RNA, 473 nt
Filed under: uncultured bacterium
Lineage: Bacteria
Description: bacterial SSU rRNA
Rfam family: Archaeal small subunit ribosomal RNA
Source: RNAcentral
GAGAGUCUGAGUGGCGAAACUUAGUUCAUCUUUUUCCAGGCAAUAGCUUGGAGAAUAAAGGUGUGGGCAAGACUGGUGGCAGCCGCCGCGGUAACACCAGCGCCUCGAGUGGUACCCACGAAUAAUGGGCCUAAAACGUCCGUAGCCGGACCUGUAAGUCCACUGUGAAAUGUUGGAGCUCAACUCUAACCCGUGCAGUGGAUACUGUUGGUCUUGGGAAUGGGGGAGGGUCGGAGUACUUUCAGGGUAGGGGUAAAAUCCGUUGAGCCUGGGAGGACUACCAGUGGCGAAGGGCCGAUCCAAAACAUAUCCUACGGUGAGGGAAGAAACUGGGGGAGCGAACGGAUAAAUACCCCCGUAUCCCAGCUGUAAAUGAUGACAAUGAGUGUGCUGGUGAUAAUCACAAGAAAGGUGUAACGUAGUGUUAGUCUUCCCCUGGGGGUACAUGCAAAUUAAAUUAAGGAAUUGCGGGG